Molecule: ribosomal RNA, 253 nt
Filed under: uncultured bacterium
Lineage: Bacteria
Description: partial 16S ribosomal RNA
Rfam family: Bacterial small subunit ribosomal RNA
Source: RNAcentral
UACGUAGGGACCAAGCGUUGUUCGGAUUUACUGGGCUUAAAGGGCGCGUAGGCGGGCAAUCAAGUCUGAGGUGAAAUCCUCCAGCUUAACUGGAGAAGUGCCCCGGAUACUGGUUGCCUCGAGGAUGGUAGGGGCAUCUGGAACUAGCGGUGGAGCGGUGAAAUGCGUUGAUAUCGCUAGGAACUCCGGUGGCGAAGGCGAGGUGCUGGACCAUUUCUGACGCUGAGGCGCGAAAGCCAGGGGAGCGAACGGG